This 897-nucleotide long non-coding RNA is filed under the name Helianthus annuus (common sunflower). RNAcentral's name for it is "hypothetical non coding rna". The record is from RNAcentral. Lineage: Eukaryota; Viridiplantae; Streptophyta; Magnoliopsida; Asterales; Asteraceae.
GACACACCCUUCUGCCUCUCUCUCGAUCUCCCUACACUCCGGCAACUGGAGCCGAAGUCCGGCGAGCUCCGGUGACCCCCCUUCUUCACUCCGAUUAAGCACCACCAUCACCAUCACCCUCCUCCUCCCUCUUUCAAGCUCGCACCUGAACAAACCACCUCCACUGGUCUCUUCAGCCAGCGCCCGACACCACUGUUGGUGGCGGCGGCGGCGGCUUAACGACAGCGGCGGCAACAGGUUCCUCUCCCAACAAACCACUCCCACAGCUCGUCUUUCCCUCUCUUCCCGAUACACGACAGCGGCAAACCACGAAGACGUCGCCGGGAACCGCAAGCUUUUGUUUCGGUUAAUCGCUCUCGUUCAUUCUCUUGGAAUUCUCAAUCCUUACUUGUGCGUUACUUUCAAGAAAUCGCAAAGCAAUUUUGUGAGUUAAUCGCUCUCGUUCAUUCUCUUGGAAUUCUCAAUCCUUACUUGUGCGUUACUUUCAAGAAAUCGCAAAGCAAUUUUGUGAGUAUACUCGUACUUUCCCCCUUUUUACUUUUACCACUUUUGGGGUGUAACAUGUUUACCUAUUGAAACUUACACAUGAACUUUUGUCUAAACACAUGAACAUUCCUAUAACAUGCUUGUAUAUGUGAUGACUUGAUACUUUAAAUUUGGGUGAUUCUUAUGUGUUGAACUUAUCAUUAACUUCGUACGAGCCAAACCUUGACAUAUGUAGCGCUAUAGGAUUAACGACCCGCCCGUAAACUUGAGGUUAUGUCUUGAGCAUAUUGCGUUUUCUUGGUUUGAUAUGUUAGACACAUGCCAUAUUUAAUGUUUAUCUUGAAUCAUAUGCUUGCCAUGAGGAAUUGUUCACACUUUUUAUCUUAUGCUAUGUUGAUGAUGAUGCUAUAA